GUCCACAUAAUAUGAUUAGUCCUGGUGAUACUUGCUUGGUUCAGGGCAGCAUCUAUAAAAUCAUUAACCCGCUGUUCAACGUUGUAGUCAUAAAGUGAAGGAUCAUCCUGAAUAAGAUUGGAGUCAUCGUUCACUUCAAAGUGAAAUCCAGGAGGAGGACUAUAAUGUACAGGGAAGGCAUUUGCAAAAAUCUGAGAUGAAGAACCAAAUGUUUUGGAGCCACGCCAUACAACUUCUAGAGAUUUAUCUACCUUGCGCUUUGCUCUAUCCUGAUAGUCAAUCCUUGCAAAAUGUA
This 295-nucleotide unclassified non-coding RNA is filed under the name Hevea brasiliensis (rubber tree). The record is from RNAcentral. Lineage: Eukaryota; Viridiplantae; Streptophyta; Magnoliopsida; Malpighiales; Euphorbiaceae.